Molecule: ribosomal RNA, 447 nt
Filed under: uncultured bacterium
Lineage: Bacteria
Description: bacterial SSU rRNA
Rfam family: Bacterial small subunit ribosomal RNA
Source: RNAcentral
UCGGGAAUUUUGUGCAAUGGGCGAAAGCCUGACACAGCAACGCCGCGUGAAGGAUGAAGUCCCUCGGGAUGUAAACUUCGUAAGAAUAGGAAGAAUAAAUGACGGUACUAUUUGUAAGGUCCGGCUAACUACGUGCCAGCAGCCGCGGUAAUACGUAGGGACCAAGCGUUGUUCGGAUUUACUGGGCGUAAAGGGUGCGUAGGCGGCAUAUCAAGUCACUUGUGAAAUCUCCGGGCUUAACUCGGAACUGCCAAGUGAUACUGAUGUGUUAGAGUGCAGAAAGGGCAACUGGAAUUCUUGGUGUAGCGGUGAAAUGCGUAGAUAUCAAGAGGAACACCUGAGGCGAAGGCGAGUUGCUAGGCUGACACUGACGCUGAGGUACGAAAGCUAGGGGAGCGAACGGGAUUAGAUACCCCCGUAGUCCCUGAGCGGGCUGGCAAGGCGCAU